Molecule: ribosomal RNA, 467 nt
Filed under: uncultured bacterium
Lineage: Bacteria
Description: partial 16S ribosomal RNA
Rfam family: Bacterial small subunit ribosomal RNA
Source: RNAcentral
GAUGAACGCUGGCGGCGUGCUUAACACAUGCAAGUCGAACGGUGAAGGCGGAGCUUGCUCUGCUGGAUCAGUGGCGAACGGGUGAGUAACACGUGAGCAAUCUGCCCCUGACUCUGGGAUAAGCGCUGGAAACGGCGUCUAAUACUGGAUACGAGCUGCGAAGGCAUCUUCAGCAGCUGGAAAGAAUUUCGGUCAGGGAUGAGCUCGCGGCCUAUCAGCUUGUUGGUGAGGUAAUGGCUCACCAAGGCGUCGAUGGGUAGCCGGCCUGAGAGGGUGACCGGCCACACUGGGACUGAGACACGGCCCAGACUCCUACGGGAGGCAGCAGUGGGGAAUAUUGCACAAUGGGCGAAAGCCUGAUGCAGCAACGCCGCGUGAGGGACGACGGCCUUCGGGUUGUAAACCUCUUUUAGCAGGGAAGAAGCGAAAGUGACGGUACCUGCAGAAAAAGCGCCGGCUAACUACGU